Non-coding RNA from Zootoca vivipara (common lizard), 297 nucleotides. Lineage: Eukaryota; Metazoa; Chordata; Lepidosauria; Squamata; Lacertidae. The record is from RefSeq and is a predicted model, not a curated record.
UUUUCUAGCAGUUCAAGGAAAAGCUUGCUUUGAUGGCAGUAGCUAGCUACAUCUGAAAAACCAAAUGCCAUUUAAUUUUCCUAGAUGCCCUGGAGUGACACAACAUUGGACACUCAAAGCACUGGGGAAUGCGCAAUGGCAGAUGCCUUCCCAGCCACUGCCAGCAGGCAAGCCACCAGCUGGGGAACUUGGUAGAUGCAGGAAAAGAGAAAUCUCCACUGCUGACGGCUGUGGUGCACACCUUGGAGACCAGAUCUGCCACCUCCUUGGCAAACAAGCACUUCUGCACAUUGGUGA